This 77-nucleotide transfer RNA is filed under the name Gemmatimonadota bacterium. RNAcentral describes it as "Gemmatimonadetes bacterium (marine metagenome) tRNA-Met". It matches the Rfam family "tRNA". From Rfam's summary of the family: Transfer RNA (tRNA) molecules are approximately 80 nucleotides in length. Their secondary structure includes four short double-helical elements and three loops (D, anti-codon, and T loops). Further hydrogen bonds mediate the characteristic L-shaped molecular structure. tRNAs have two regions of fundamental functional importance: the anti-codon, which is responsible for specific mRNA codon recognition, and the 3' end, to which the tRNAs corresponding amino acid is attached (by aminoacyl-tRNA synthetases). tRNAs cope with the degeneracy of the genetic code in two manners: having more than one tRNA (with a specific anti-codon) for a particular amino acid; and 'wobble' base-pairing, i.e. permitting non-standard base-pairing at the 3rd anti-codon position. The record is from RNAcentral. Lineage: Bacteria; Pseudomonadati; Gemmatimonadota.
UGCGGGGUGGAGCAGUCUGGUAGCUCGUCGGGCUCAUAACCCGAAGGACGUAGGUUCAAAUCCUGCCCCCGCAACCA